GAUGAAGAACGUAGUGAAGUGCGAUAAGUAAUGUGAAUUGCAGAAUCCGUGAAUCAUCGAAUUUUUGAACGCAAAUUGCACUCUCUGGUACUCCGGGGAGUAUGCCUGUUUGAGGGUCUGUUUAUACAAAAUCGAAGUGUCGCUUUUGUGACAUUUCGGAAUUGGGUUAUCUUAACCUUUAAGUUAAGAGACUUGAAAUUAAUAAUUUUUUACGCAUCCUUGACGUGUAUAAUUUAUUUAUCCGUUUCCGGGUGUCUACUUUUAUUAGGUAUGGUCAUGUUGUAUGAUAUCAUGCCUAUAAUUUUUCAUUGAAUGACCUCAAAUCAGGUAGGAAUACCCGCUGAACUUAAGCAUAUCAAUAAGCGGAGGA
Molecule: unclassified non-coding RNA, 370 nt
Filed under: soil metagenome
Description: partial contains 5.8S ribosomal RNA, internal transcribed spacer 2, and large subunit ribosomal RNA
Rfam family: 5.8S ribosomal RNA (bases 1-119)
Source: RNAcentral